RNAcentral lists this ribosomal RNA (343 nucleotides) under uncultured bacterium. RNAcentral describes it as "bacterial SSU rRNA". It matches the Rfam family "Bacterial small subunit ribosomal RNA", at positions 28 to 354 of the family's 1533-position model. The record is from RNAcentral.
AUUGAACGUUGGCGGCGUGGAUUAGGCAUGCAAGUCGAGCGAGAAAGCCACCUUCGGGUGGUGAGUAAAGCGGCGAACGGGUGAGUAACGCGUGGGGAACCGUGCCCUCAGGUGGGGGAGUAACACUCCUAACGGGGUGCUAAUACCGCAUGAUGCGGCUGGGUCGCAUGGCCCGGCCAUCAAAGGUGGCCUCUGAUAUAAGCUAUCGCCAGAGGAUGGCCCCGCGUCCGANAGCUAGUUGGUGGGGUAAGGCUCACCAAGGCUACGAUCGGUAGCUGGUCUGAGAGGAUGGUCAGCCACACUGGCACUGCGACACGGGCCAGACUCCUACGGGAGGCAGCAG